Oreochromis niloticus (Nile tilapia) is the source of this 2327-nucleotide long non-coding RNA. Lineage: Eukaryota; Metazoa; Chordata; Actinopteri; Cichliformes; Cichlidae. The record is from Ensembl.
GUUCACUCAAAGGGAAAAUGUUGUCGUCGUACUGGUGACUUGUGGAGUGAAACUGUGUGUGUGAAAAAUUCUCCACAAGCCCAACAAUCCACACUCACCUGUUAGAAAUCUGCUCUCGCUGUCCGACGACUUGCAUCUCGCUGUGUGUUGGUGAACGUUUUGAGGCGGACUUUGGGUCGGAGCCGCCUGCGAGAAACAAACUGGACGCGUCAGUCAUCAGAAGUAAGGUUCCUCUUGCCCAGCACCCCCUCCUCUACGGCAGCUAAGCUCACUGCGGCUGAAACUGGCACUGAUUUGGACACGGAAGGGAUGACUUCUAUUAUCCAGCUUCUUCACGGUUUUUGGCUUUUGUUUUCACAUAAGCAUCCAAAUGUCCUGCAGCGAACAUCACCCCUCAACUUUCACUGAGUUUAAACGGCUAAAGAGACGUUGUUGUUUGUUGAUUUUCUUUCUUUCUGUUUAUUUUAUUUUCUUUCAUAAAAGUAUUUUUUCAUUGUUUUUCAAAGUACCAGAAAACUUGCAGCUGAAUAUUUUUGGCUUUUUGAGGCUCUGUUGGUCUUAUUCGAGUCGUAGAUAUGAUGUGCAUCAAAUUACUAAUUAGGAAGAUGAUUAAUAAUUGGAUGCAGUCAUAAUUUUGUCUGUGAAUGUCAGAAAGUGCUACAGAAGGCAGUCUAAGACCCAAAUAUGAUUAUAAUAAAGGGGGAAAAAAGAAGUAAACGAGAAAUGGUUUUACACACCUCCUCAGUUACUUUGAGUUAUCGUCACUCAGCCUCACAACAACCCAAAGUCUUUCUAAAUCAUAUAGGAGGGAAACAAAAAUAAAGGAUGACAGUGCAAUAAACUUCUACUUUGCUCAUUAACUGUAUAUCGAGGGGUUUGUUUGUUAUGUAGACGGCGAGGAGCGCAGAGGGAUGGACCUUCCCCGGUCUGAGUGAGAUUAAGACUGAACAAUAACUGAGCCUGAAGAAGAUUUUCACACACAUGCAGCUUGACCGUUAAGAAUGUGUAUUUGUGUGUCGUUUUGUUUGUGUCCCGUGUGCAUAUUUAUAUUGUGCCUUUAACCAUCAUCUGUCUGCUUAAUCUCAAAGGGAAAUCUCUUUUUAUGUUUGAUACAUGUAUCUCUGCAUUGUUAUUCUCCAAAGUGUUAUUUUACUUUAUUUUUAUCUCAAUACUUUUUAAGUACUGUCGAGAUUUUCUUUUGUUACUGAGUUCGACUUUUUUGACUUGAUUGUUCUGUCUGCACUGCAACUGAAAGGUCUCGUAGAAAACUCCACAUGCACUGCGGCUCAGUGUUUAAAGAAAUUUAAAGUUCGGCGUUCAGAUGUUUUUUCUUUUGCUGUGAAACAUUUAGCAUCGCUUAGACAAUCACAAUCCCCGAUGUUUGGUGUUUUUAUUUUUUAUGGCUGGUCAGAAGGUGAAAGCAGCUGUAACAAAGCGUGCUCGUUCUGUCGUUCAGUUACUACCUUAGUGAAUCCAAGGGAGAACGAGCAGUCCUCAAACAGAAAACUGAGACCUUUGCGUCUGUUCAGCUUAUUGAAUGUUUAUUUCUUUACUUUGUCUGCAUGUCACGCCUGUUUUGAAGUAUAUUAUCAUGGCCGUACAUAAUGACCAUGAAAUGUUUAAGGGACUAUAAUCUUAGAUUUUCUUUUUUUCAUGCCAAAUAUUGCUGUUAUUCAAAAGCUGUUUAUUUUAUAUGUAUUUCAUCUCAUUUUCAGACAUGUGAGGCUGUUUGCGGUCACAUAGAGAGCCUGAAAACUCAACACUAUCAUAAUAAUCAAUGCUAAUUAUUUAAUGACAGUAAUCACUAUUUCCUCCCAACAGCCCUGUAAGGUUUUCCUGUGUAAGACAAUAUAAUGUAAAUACAUUUUAAAGGUUUCAGACUCAAGUCUGUGCGUGUGUGUUUUUUUAUUUAUUUAAAUGAGGGAAAAUUAAAAGGAAAUGUAUUUGCAAAUAUAGACCAGUAGACCGUAGAUUAUACAAGUAGUAAUAACAUUUAGAUUAAAUAUAACCCAAAAGUUAGAUUCCAGUGUAGCCAGCUUUCCAUUGAGAACAGGAAGCAGAUUUUUUGUUUUCUCUAUUACAAGAUUAAUCCAGAUGUACCAGCCAUUGCUCACUUGGGUCCACACAAGCCAAAGAGAUGCUUUACUGACGUUUAAAAUAAAUACUACUAAUACAGUUUGGCCAAUAAUAUGAGAAAAAGACAAUUUUUGUAGUUUUGCUUCUUUACACCAACACGGUGACUUGAUUCCAACAAAGAACAAACAUUAAAUUAAAGGAAUUACAGCUUCCUUCAGUUAGGAAGAUGUAGAGGCUGCGAAAUGCUCCUG